RNAcentral lists this ribosomal RNA (422 nucleotides) under uncultured cyanobacterium. RNAcentral describes it as "bacterial SSU rRNA". It matches the Rfam family "Bacterial small subunit ribosomal RNA", at positions 158 to 612 of the family's 1533-position model. Lineage: Bacteria; Bacillati; Cyanobacteriota. The record is from RNAcentral.
GGUGGCUAAUACCGGAUGUGCCGAGAGGUGAAAGGUUAACUGCCUGGAGAGGAGCUCGCGUCUGAUUAGCUAGAUGGUGGGGUAAAAGCCUACCAAGGCGCCGAUCAGUAGCUGGUCUGAGAGGAUGAUCAGCCACACUGGGACUGAGACACGGCCCAGACUCCUACGGGAGGCAGCCGUGGGGAAUUUUCCGCAAUGGGCGAAAGCCUGACGGAUCAAUAGCGCGUGAGGGAGGAAGGCUCUUGGGUUGUAAACCUCUUUUCUCAGGGAAUAAAAAAAUGAAGGUACCUGAGGAAUAAGCAUCGGCUAACUCCGUGCCAGCAGCCGCGGUAAUACGGACGAUGCAAGCGUUAUUCGGAAUGAUUGGGCGUAAAGCGUCCGCAUGUGGCUAUGUAACUCUGCUGUUAUAGAGCAAGGCUCAA